This 403-nucleotide unclassified non-coding RNA is filed under the name fungal sp. RNAcentral describes it as "partial internal transcribed spacer region". The stretch from base 1 to 46 matches the Rfam family "Eukaryotic small subunit ribosomal RNA", at positions 1786 to 1831 of the family's 1831-position model. The record is from RNAcentral. Lineage: Eukaryota; Fungi.
AAGUCGUAACAAGGUCUCCGUAGGUGAACCUGCGGAGGGAUCAUUAACACGUUUCCAAAAAACGUUUAUCAACCAAAUCAACGUGAACCAGUAACAACUCCCUUGUCAGUGUGACGAACGAACAAUCAUCAGGGUGGAGAUCGGCUUCGGCCGAACUAUGACUCGUUCUAGGGGCCCUUCGAGGCUCCAAUCCGCUGGCAAGUGUCUUUGCGACCACCUGGCAGUCUACAUUCGUGUAGCGUUCUGCCGAAUUUGUUUAACCCAAUAUUUUUAACCCCUUUCACAACAUACUAAUAACUGAACCAUGUUUCAAAUUGAGCAGCCCUGGCUUGCCAGCAACGGCUCAUUUGAAUACGAUAUACGUAAUGCUGAACAACUCUUAGCAAUGGAUAUCUUGGUUCUC